Molecule: ribosomal RNA, 253 nt
Filed under: uncultured bacterium
Lineage: Bacteria
Description: partial 16S ribosomal RNA
Rfam family: Bacterial small subunit ribosomal RNA
Source: RNAcentral
UACGAAGGGGGCUAGCGUUGUUCGGAAUUACUGGGCGUAAAGCGUAUGCAGGCGGAUCGUUAAGUCGGGGGUGAAAUCCCGAGGCUCAACCUCGGAACUGCCUUCGAUACUGGCGAUCUUGAGUCCGGGAGAGGUGAGUGGAACUCCGAGUGUAGAGGUGAAAUGCGCAGAUAUCAGGAGGAACACCAAUGGCGAAGGCAGCUCGCUGGGACGUGACUGACGCUGAGACGCGAAAGCGUGGGGAGCAAACAGG